CCUACGGGGGGCUGCAGUGGGGGAUAUUGGACAAUGGGGGAAACCCUGAUCCAGCGACGCCGCGUGAGUGAAGAAGUAUUUCGGUAUGUAAAGCUCUGUCAGCAGGGAAGAACGAAAUGACGGUACCUGACCAAGAAGCCCCGGCUAACUACGUGCCAGCAGCCGCGGUAAUACGUAGGGGGCAAGCGUUAUCCGGAAUUACUGGGUGUAAAGGGAGCGUAGACGGUGAUGCAAGUCUGGAGUGAAAGGCGGGGGCCCAACCCCCGGACUGCUCUGGAAACUGUGUAACUUGAGGGCAGGAGAGGUAAGCGGAAUUCCUAGUGUAGCGGUGAAAUGCGUAGAUAUUAGGAGGAACACCAGUGGCGAAGGCGGCUUACUGGACUGUAACUGACGUUGAUGCUCGAAAGCGUGGGGAGCAAACAGGAUUAGAUACCCCUGUAGUC
This 443-nucleotide ribosomal RNA is filed under the name uncultured bacterium. Its description in RNAcentral is "partial 16S ribosomal RNA". It matches the Rfam family "Bacterial small subunit ribosomal RNA", at positions 338 to 795 of the family's 1533-position model. The record is from RNAcentral.